This 249-nucleotide unclassified non-coding RNA is filed under the name Hevea brasiliensis (rubber tree). Lineage: Eukaryota; Viridiplantae; Streptophyta; Magnoliopsida; Malpighiales; Euphorbiaceae. The record is from RNAcentral.
UAAUAGAUAAAACUGAUUAAUACCACCAGUUGAAUAAGGGACUAUCAUACAUCUAAACCAUAAAUCCUGAAAGAUCAGGAUUUGAGAACACCCACAAUGACUAACUCGCUAUAUAACUAGAGGAGAUUCAUUCCAUAAACGUGUCUGAAUCCAGAUAUGUGAACCAGUUCUGCAUGCCGGCACUUCACUCGUACACAAGAUAAAAGCAAAAAACAUAAAAACAAAGAGAGAGAGAGAGAGAGAGAGAGA